GCAGAUCCAUUAUACAUAUAAAAGAAGAAUGAUACGGAGCAGAUCAGCAUGGUCCCUGAGCGAGGAUGACACGUGAAUUCAUGAAGCAUUCCAUAUUUUU
This is a small nuclear RNA of Chlorocebus sabaeus (green monkey), 100 nucleotides long. The record is from Ensembl. Lineage: Eukaryota; Metazoa; Chordata; Mammalia; Primates; Cercopithecidae.